Molecule: ribosomal RNA, 497 nt
Filed under: uncultured bacterium
Lineage: Bacteria
Description: partial 16S ribosomal RNA
Rfam family: Bacterial small subunit ribosomal RNA
Source: RNAcentral
GAUGAACGCUGGCGGCGUGCCUAAUACAUGCAAGUCGAGCGAACAGACGAGGAGCUUGCUCCUCUGACGUUAGCGGCGGACGGGUGAGUAACACGUGGAUAACCUACCUAUAAGACUGGGAUAACUUCGGGAAACCGGAGCUAAUACCGGAUAAUAUAUUGAACCGCAUGGUUCAAUAGUGAAAGACGGUUUUGCUGUCACUUAUAGAUGGAUCCGCGCCGCAUUAGCUAGUUGGUAAGGUAACGGCUUACCAAGGCAACGAUGCGUAGCCGACCUGAGAGGCUGAUCGGCCACACUGGAACUGAGACACGGUCAAGACUCCUACAGGAGGCAGCAGUAGGGAAUCUUCCGCAAUGGGCGAAAGCCUGACGGAGCAACGCCGCGUGAGUGAUGAAGGUCUUCGGAUCGUAAAACUCUGUUAUUAGGGAAGAACCAAUGUGUAAGUAAAUAUGCACGUCUUGACGGUACCUAAUCAGAAAGCCACGGCUAACUACGUG